GGGCACAAUGGGUCAGUACGUCUGGCUGUUAACCAGAAGGCCGGUGGUUCGAACCCAACCA
Molecule: transfer RNA, 61 nt
Filed under: Podarcis lilfordi (Lilford's wall lizard)
Lineage: Eukaryota; Metazoa; Chordata; Lepidosauria; Squamata; Lacertidae
Description: tRNA.Asn
Rfam family: tRNA
About the family: Transfer RNA (tRNA) molecules are approximately 80 nucleotides in length. Their secondary structure includes four short double-helical elements and three loops (D, anti-codon, and T loops).
Source: RNAcentral